ACCAAUUGACGAGUCCCAAAAUAGGACGAAACACGCGUCCUGGAU
RNAcentral lists this non-coding RNA (45 nucleotides) under Schistosoma mattheei. The record is from RNAcentral. Lineage: Eukaryota; Metazoa; Platyhelminthes; Trematoda; Strigeidida; Schistosomatidae.